UCUUGCUCAGUGUCUCUUUACAAUGCAGCAAUACUGAUAGUAUUUUCUCCAUAUGGCAGGUGUGGGGCUGAGUGUUUGUCCCCUGAGUUUAUAAAUAAGGUGAAAUUCAAACUAUGAACUUCUGGCUUCACAUUCUUAGAUUCAAACAACAUGAUGGGUAGAGGAGAGCCACUAUAGCAUACCAAUAUACAGAUACCAGGAGGCUGAGAGGCAGUAGAUUGCCUAAAGCCACUUCAGUGGUGAUUCUCUUUAUUGUGCAGGGGGAGAGCAACUGGCCCUAUCCAUCCCCAGCACAGCAUUCCUCCCGCGGCUGUUGCUGGUGUCUAUCUUGUGUUUCUUUUUUAGAUUGUGAGCUCUUUGAGGACAGGGUAGCCAUUUUAUUUGUUUGUUUAUAUCUAUGUAAACCACUUUGGGAACUCUUGUUGAAAGUGGUAUAUAAAUAUCCGUCACAUUUGUAUUCAGUUUAUGGGUUAAGUAAGAUUUGAACUAGGGACUUCCCAUUUGCCACAUACAAUAGUAAAUAAUAAUGAAUGACACCUUUCAAAGAGAUUUUACCAACAGUGCAUAAUAUACCAGUACUGAAGAUAUUAUGCAAUGCUGUAUUUUAGAGAUGUUUCCUUCCUAAUAUUUAUUUGCUCUGCUAUUUGCUCUUUCCAGUAUUAUUUUUAUUACUUGUUUCCAGCAGUAUAUUCAGCCUGCUGUGCCCUUCCAGAAAUACAAAUUAUCACUGCCACUGCCACAAAGAGACCUUUAGAAAUGGCUGGACUUCUACUGCAUGAAAACAUAUGCUUCAAAUGAAUGCUGAGUAUUGGGUGCCAAUGGAAGCAAAGUAAUGGAAUCCUGCCAGAUGGGAGAGGUUGAAACUGUGGACCAUGUGAUAUUAUACUGCCAGUUUUAUAGAGAGAUUUGUUUUCUUUUCAUAACCCCAAUUUUAAAGAAAUUUCCAGCUGAGGGGAUGAGGAACAAAGUGAAGGAACAAAAUAAGCAGUUUUGGGAUAGUGACAGAAGCAGAGGGAGAGAGAGCUGAAGGCACCGUGGGAUGCAGAUCUCUGUCUGGGUCAGAAGAAAAACAAUCCAACUAUUUGUAAUAGAAGAAACCAGAAUGGAAACCAAACGAAAAUGGCAAAGUUCAGGAAACAGAAAGAUCCAUUCAUCCCUAUGAGCCACCCAAAACAACAACAAGAGAACCGCAAGGAUUAGAUAAAGACAGCAGAGGCACCAGAUGAAAAAGCAACUAUGGAAAACUAAUAGGAUUUUGAAUACCAAUACAAACAUGAGUGCACAGGAUUGACUACACCUGAUGCCUUUAUUGCACCAGGUAAUAGGGACAGAGUUUUAACGUCUGGGCUCUCUCCAGUAGUGACCCACUUGAUUGUGCCAGUUCCCCGUUUUCCUGCUAGAUUAUUUAUUGGUUGGUUGGUUAGUUGGUAUUUCUC
Hemicordylus capensis (graceful crag lizard) is the source of this 1436-nucleotide long non-coding RNA. RefSeq lists it as uncharacterized. The transcript is spliced from 3 exons. The record is from RefSeq and is a predicted model, not a curated record. NCBI's taxonomy places the organism in Eukaryota, Metazoa, Chordata, Lepidosauria, Squamata, Cordylidae.